AAAUUGAAGAGUUUGAUCAUGGCUCAGAUUGAACGCUGGCGGCAGGCCUAACACAUGCAAGUCGAGCGGAAACGGCAGUAUUGAAGCUUCGGUGGAUUUACUGGACGUCGAGCGGCGGACGGGUGAGUAACGGCUGGGAACCUGCCCUGACGAGGGGGAUAACCGUUGGAAACGACGGCUAAUACCGCAUAAUGUCUACGGACCAAAGGUGGCCUCUACAUGUAAGCUAUCGCGUUGGGAUGGGCCCAGUUAGGAUUAGCUAGUUGGUAAGGUAAUGGCUUACCAAGGCGACGAUCCUUAGCUGGUUUGAGAGGAUGAUCAGCCACACUGGGACUGAGACACGGCCCAGACUCCUACGGGAGGCAGCAGUGGGGAAUAUUGCACAAUGGGGGAGACCCUGAUGCAGCCAUGCCGCGUGUGUGAAGAAGGCCUUCGGGUUGUAAAGCACUUUCAGCAGUGAGGAAGGUGGUGUACUUAAUACGUGCAUGGCUUGACGUUAGCUGCAGAAGAAGCACCGGCUAACUCCGUGCCAGCAGCCGCGGUAAUACGGAGGGUGCGAGCGUUAAUCGGAAUUACUGGGCGUAAAG
RNAcentral lists this non-coding RNA (587 nucleotides) under Salinivibrio sp. KP-1. RNAcentral's name for it is "Bacterial small subunit ribosomal RNA". It matches the Rfam family "Bacterial small subunit ribosomal RNA", at positions 1 to 565 of the family's 1533-position model. The record is from Rfam by way of RNAcentral. Lineage: Bacteria; Pseudomonadati; Pseudomonadota; Gammaproteobacteria; Vibrionales; Vibrionaceae.